Cololabis saira (Pacific saury) is the source of this 424-nucleotide long non-coding RNA. RefSeq lists it as uncharacterized. The transcript has 3 exons. The record is from RefSeq and is a predicted model, not a curated record. Lineage: Eukaryota; Metazoa; Chordata; Actinopteri; Beloniformes; Belonidae.
AGACCCCUUUCCAGCCUACGUCAUCACAGGAUGCGCGCGCAUUGUUGCGGCGGAAGUGCUGAAGAAGUUGCAUGAGUUUGACUAGAGCGAGGGAAGAUUUUUUUCUUAAGUUGCGUUUUUGGAGUUGCAGUAACGUUAUAGAAGAACAACAUGCCCACCAGCUGUUGUGUGUACGGGUGUACAAAUCGAAAUCCCGAGGAACAUAAUUUUUUUGCAAUUCCCAGAGGAAACAGGCCAUUUCAAAAGCACCGACUGGACCGAGGAUCAUCAAGCAUGCCCGCGUUUGCAGUGCUCAUUUCAUAUCUGGUGAGAUGUCACUGGACCACGACAGUCCUGAUUUUGUGCCCUCUAUUUUUUCAUACACUAAACAAAACCAAAACCCUGAUGCAAAGAUCAAAAGGUACCAAAGAAAAAAGAAAUGGAG